Small nucleolar RNA from Sorex araneus (European shrew), 135 nucleotides. Its record names the gene U8. It matches the Rfam family "U8 small nucleolar RNA". Rfam says of the family: U8 is a member of the C/D class of snoRNA which contain the C (UGAUGA) and D (CUGA) box motifs. U8 is the RNA component of a small complex (the U8 snoRNP) which is required for accumulation of mature large subunit ribosomal RNAs, 5.8S and 28S rRNAs. Lineage: Eukaryota; Metazoa; Chordata; Mammalia; Eulipotyphla; Soricidae. The record is from Ensembl.
UCAUCAGGCAAGAUUAUCCUUACCUGUUCCUCUAUUCAGAGGGCAGAUACAACAAGAUGAUUGGAUUUUUGAAAGAUACGUAAUUAAUAUUUCAGCGCAAUUAGGGAUUCAACACCUUAAUUGCUCCUGUCUGCU